This 728-nucleotide ribosomal RNA is filed under the name uncultured bacterium. Its description in RNAcentral is "bacterial SSU rRNA". It matches the Rfam family "Bacterial small subunit ribosomal RNA", at positions 789 to 1515 of the family's 1533-position model. The record is from RNAcentral.
GGUAGUCCACGCCGUAAACGAUGAGUGCUAAGUGUUAGGGGGUUUCCGCCCCUUAGUGCUGCAGCUAACGCAUUAAGCACUCCGCCUGGGGAGUACGACCGCAAGGUUGAAACUCAAAGGAAUUGACGGGGACCCGCACAAGCGGUGGAGCAUGUGGUUUGAUUCGAAGCAACGCGAAGAACCUUACCAAAUCUUGACAUCCUCUGACUCCUCCAGAGAUAGAGUUUUCCCCUUCGGGGGACAGAGUGACAGGUGGUGCAUGGUUGUCGUCAGCUCGUGUCGUGAGAUGUUGGGUUAAGUCCCGCAACGAGCGCAACCCUUAAGCUUAGUUGCCAUCAUUAAGUUGGGCACUCUAAGUUGACUGCCGGUGACAAACCGGAGGAAGGUGGGGAUGACGUCAAAUCAUCAUGCCCCUUAUGAUUUGGGCUACACACGUGCUACAAUGGACAAUACAAAGGGCAGCGAAACCGCGAGGUCAAGCAAAUCCCAUAAAGUUGUUCUCAGUUCGGAUUGUAGUCUGCAACUCGACUAUAUGAAGCUGGAAUCGCUAGUAAUCGUAGAUCAGCAUGCUACGGUGAAUACGUUCCCGGGUCUUGUACACACCGCCCGUCACACCACGAGAGUUUGUAACACCCGAAGCCGGUGGAGUAACCAUUUGGAGCUAGCCGUCGAAGGUGGGACAAAUGAUUGGGGUGAAGUCGUAACAAGGUAGCCGUAUCGGAAGGUGC